Molecule: transfer RNA, 77 nt
Filed under: Streptomyces goshikiensis
Lineage: Bacteria; Bacillati; Actinomycetota; Actinomycetes; Kitasatosporales; Streptomycetaceae
Also listed under: 12 other names
Description: tRNA-Met
Rfam family: tRNA
About the family: Transfer RNA (tRNA) molecules are approximately 80 nucleotides in length. Their secondary structure includes four short double-helical elements and three loops (D, anti-codon, and T loops).
Source: RNAcentral
CGCGGGGUGGAGCAGUUCGGUAGCUCGCUGGGCUCAUAAUCCAGAGGUCGCAGGUUCAAAUCCUGUCCCCGCUACCA